RNAcentral lists this ribosomal RNA (422 nucleotides) under uncultured bacterium. RNAcentral's name for it is "bacterial SSU rRNA". It matches the Rfam family "Bacterial small subunit ribosomal RNA", at positions 355 to 774 of the family's 1533-position model. The record is from RNAcentral.
UAAGGAAUAUUGGUCAAUGGAGGCAACUCUGAACCAGCCAUGCCGCGUGAAGGAUUAAGGCCCUCUGGGUUGUAAACUUCUUUUAUAUGGGAAGAAAUGUACUUUUUCUAAAGUGCUUGACGGUACCAUAGGAAUAAGCACCGGCUAACUCCGUGCCAGCAGCCGCGGUAAUACGGAGGGUGCGAGCGUUAUCCGGAUUUACUGGGUUUAAAGGGUGCGUAGGCGGAUGAAUAAGUCAGUGGUGAAAUCUCCGAGCUUAACUCGGAAACUGCCGUUGAUACUAUUUGUCUUGAAUAUUGUGGAGGUAAGCGGAAUAUGUCAUGUAGCGGUGAAAUGCUUAGAUAUGACAUAGAACACCAAUUGCGAAGGCAGCUUGCUACACAAUCAUUGACGCUGAGGCACGAAAGCGUGGGGAUCAAACA